GAUCAUGGCUCAGGAUGAACGCUGGCGACAGGCUUAACACAUGCAAGUCGAGGGGCAUCAUGAGGUAGCAAUACCUUGAUGGCGACCGGCGCACGGGUGAGUAACGCGUAUGCAACCUGCCCGAUACCGGGGUAUAGCCCAUGGAAACGUGGAUUAACACCCCAUAGUACUUUUAUCCUGCCUGGGAUGGGAGUUAAAUGUUCAAGGUAUCGGAUGGGCAUGCGUCCUAUUAGUUAGUUGGG
Molecule: ribosomal RNA, 242 nt
Filed under: uncultured bacterium
Lineage: Bacteria
Description: partial 16S ribosomal RNA
Rfam family: Bacterial small subunit ribosomal RNA
Source: RNAcentral